Molecule: long non-coding RNA, 435 nt
Organism: Mizuhopecten yessoensis (Yesso scallop)
Lineage: Eukaryota; Metazoa; Mollusca; Bivalvia; Pectinida; Pectinidae
Exons: 3
Source: RefSeq, a predicted model, not a curated record
AUGACCGAAGGAUUGUUGAAUUUGAAGUUUUACUGUCCAAUUUAAGUUCAUGUCAAUCGUGCCAAUUAGGGCCAAUUCCUUUACCAUCUCUAAAUAUUGUUGGAGAAUUGAGGAAAGGAUUGAGUGGAUACUUGUAUGUUAAUUGCCAAAAUCCGGAUUGCGGUGCGGUAAACAAAGCCUUUGACAAAGGCUCUUACGGUAAAACGCACCACAUCAAGUCCACACAAAGCUUAAGCGUGGGACAUGUUUAGAUAUUGCAAAGCAGGAUUCUCUGGAAGCUCAGAAAAGCAUGGGUGAGAGUAUUUGUGAUCUUGGUGUAACGCCAUUGCCAGAUGCAUCACCAUCGUUUGCUGCUGUCCACGGAGCCAGUGUCCUGGGACGACAGUGAUAUAUCGAACAAUGAUGAACCAGACAAUGUGAUGGACUCCAUACCAC